This 391-nucleotide unclassified non-coding RNA is filed under the name soil metagenome. RNAcentral's name for it is "partial contains 5.8S ribosomal RNA, internal transcribed spacer 2, and large subunit ribosomal RNA". The stretch from base 1 to 122 matches the Rfam family "5.8S ribosomal RNA", at positions 35 to 154 of the family's 154-position model. The record is from RNAcentral.
GAUGAAGAACGUAGCAAAAUGCGAUACUUGGUGUGAAUUGCAGAAUCCCGUGAACCAUCGAGUCUUUGAACGCAAGUUGCGCCCGAAGCCAUUAGGCCGAGGGCACGCCUGCCUGGGCGUCACACGUCGUUGCCCCCCCAUCUACUCCUUCGGGAUUGCGAGGGGCGGAUGAUGGCCUCCCGUGCGCCUCGUCGCGCGGUUGGCAUAAAUGCCAAGUCCUCGGCGACGCACGCCACGACAAUCGGUGGUUGCGAAACCUCGGUUGCCCGUCGUGUGCGGUCGUCGCGCAUCGAGGGCUCGAAAAAAUUGUCGGGCUCCGGCUCGGCUUUCAACGCGACCCCAGGUCAGGCGGGGUUACCCGCUGAAUUUAAGCAUAUCAAUAAGCGGAGGA